This 34-nucleotide non-coding RNA is filed under the name unclassified sequences. Its description in RNAcentral is "L31-Firmicutes ribosomal protein leader". It matches the Rfam family "L31-Firmicutes ribosomal protein leader". The record is from RNAcentral.
CUCUGGCUUAGUAAAUAAUCCAGGGCAAAAGGAG